This 407-nucleotide long non-coding RNA is filed under the name Brassica napus (rape). RNAcentral's name for it is "long non-coding RNA (BNAP_LNC010130)". The record is from RNAcentral. Lineage: Eukaryota; Viridiplantae; Streptophyta; Magnoliopsida; Brassicales; Brassicaceae.
AAUAUAUCGAAAAUAGAUUUAUAUACCUAAAUAUAUUAAUUAUUUUUAGAUUUAAUGUAUAUUAAAAACAUCCAAAAUAUAUAAGAUACUUUUAAGGCGUGUAAAAUACUUGAAAAUAUAAACAAAUAGUCAAAACUAAAUGUCUAAGAUAACUAAAAUAUACUGAAAACACCAAAAAAUACUUAAAAAUUCUAUUGAUUCUCUAUCAAAAUAUUCAAACCAAACCAAUUUAUAUGUUAAUUGUAGGUGUUUUGACAUAUGUUAUUCAAAUUUAUAUGUAAUAUAUUAUUUUAUUUAUAGAUUUUGAGAAAUUUAAAGUAUAUAAUGAAUUUUAAAAUUUUAUAAAUUAUUUAAAUGGGUUAUCCGAAUCCGAACUGAACCUACUUAGAUCCAAAUCGAACCCGAAU